This 478-nucleotide ribosomal RNA is filed under the name uncultured bacterium. RNAcentral describes it as "partial 16S ribosomal RNA". It matches the Rfam family "Bacterial small subunit ribosomal RNA", at positions 28 to 523 of the family's 1533-position model. The record is from RNAcentral.
GACGAACGCUGGCGGCGUGCUUAACACAUGCAAGUCGAACGGUAAGGCCCUUGGGGGUACACGAGUGGCGAACGGGCGAGUAACACGUGGGUGAUCUGCCCUGCACUUCGGGAUAAGCCUGGGAAACUGGGUCUAAUACCGGAUAGGACUCCUGGCUUCAUGGUUGGGGGUGGAAAGCUUUUGCGGUGUGGGAUGGGCCCGCGGCCUAUCAGUUUGUUGGUGGGGUAAUGGCCUACCAAGGCGACGACGGGUAGCCGGCCUGAGAGGGUGACCGGUCACACUGGGACUGAGAUACGGCCCAGACUCCUACGGGAGGCAGCAGUGGGGAAUAUUGCACAAUGGGCGCAAGCCUGAUGCAGCGACGCCGCGUGAGGGAUGACGGCCCUCGGGUUGUAAACCUCUUUCAGCUAUGACGAAGCGCAAGUGACGGUAGUAGCAGAAGAAGGACCGGCCAACUACGUGCCAGCAGCAGCCGCGG